GACCACAAAAUCGUGACCUGAGCCAACCAGCUAACUGACUGAGCCACCCAGGUGCUCCUGAGGGGCCUCACUUCUUAAAUACUCACAUCUUUGCUGUUUCAUACUCCAUUUUUCACAGCCCUGGGUUGUGCUCCAGCUGUGGCCCCUUCCCUAUUGGACUGGAAGUUCCAUGAGGUCAAGGACUGUAUGUUCCUGUCCUCCCAUAUUCUUUCUCUCCAAAAGCCUAACACAAUGCUGGGCACAGAGUCCUAUUCGAUGGGUACUUGCUGAUGAGUUAAAGAGAAACCACAGUGUGAACCAUGGCCAAGAGGCUUUGUGACCUCAUUGUCCUGUGAGUUACCUUGUCCAGACAACAUGCUGAAAAGUCACUGCUUUUCCUGAGGUCUGACUGGUAGCACCUGGUGCAAUCUCAGAAUAGUGAUCCUCCUCGGGAGCAACAGCCCUCCCCUAAACAAGGGCUUUAGAAAUUUGUGGCUCUUUGUCUGGCAUUUUAUGACAGAAGCCAGGGAUGCUGAAUGGCUUACAAAGCCCUGGAGAGAACAGUCACAACUUGUCCUGCAUCCUAUACUCCUUUGGAGUGUUCCUUCAGACACCUGGGCUGAUUUCCUGGUCAGGAGACUGCAACUGGUCUACAUAAGCUGUCAUUGCUGUCGAUCUGCACGUUUGAGGAAUGAGCAAGUAAAUACAUGGUCUAAAUUUCAAAGAUGUAGCCUAAGCCAUCCUUGUUUCUGAGAAGAGUUUUUAGUGCUUGUUUUUUAAAUAGUCCUAUAGGGAAAUGAGGCAGAUGGCAUUGGCUCACGUGAAGAUCCGUUCCUGCUGCAUGUGGUACAGGUCCGGCAGUGGGGAGACCAAGGUAAAAGGAGAUACAGGCACUGUCUUCAGGGAGUUGAUAGUCCAGAGGGUAAGAGACCAUAAAAGGGACCCACCGCAGUGCAGCAUGAAUAUUCGUGAACAAGCCACCAUACAGGGCAGGUGUGGAUAGGAGGCUUACCCAGGCCUUGCCUCACAGUGGUCAGCAUGGCAGAAAGGGGGUCACCACUCAAGCACCUCCUUCCCCAAUGCUGACACCUCCCGUGCAGAGGGGUGUCCAGCUGGUUAGUUUGAGCUUGGGUGUCUUUCUCCUACUACUUUUCUGGGAGCCAUGGCCUGAGUCUUGGAAGCAUGCCCUUGGAGGGCCAUCCAGGGUCAGGACUGCUCAGGGCUGUGAAGGCUCUGUGACGCACAAUGAGGAUGUGCUUUGCUUCAAGUGCAAGGUGAGAUGUGUUCCACGUACCUUAUGUAGCCCACCUGGGGCCUGUGCUGCAGGAACCAGCGGUAGGACACCUUGUCCUUCCAGCCAACGUUCCUCGAGUCCUUCCACAGCAGCCGGACCUGGUCACUCGUGUCCCCGGUGUGCCACAGGGAGUUGCGGAGAUGCUCCCCCGGGCCUGUCUUAGACUUAACAGCCUGAAAAGGACACGAGCACGGUAGAACCAAAUACAGAGACCACCCUUCCUGCUUCCUGGGUCCCUGGGGUGGUGACUUCACGGUUAGAAUCUGGCUGUCUUGGAUUUGGACAAAAGCGUAAACACUUAAAUGCCCUUUCUCCUGAGGUGACCCUUAACCCUUUAAUAACCAGCCCUGGCUGAUACCCCACUAACCCAUUCCACUUUUUUUCCUGCUGUGAAUCCAUUGCUCCACAUGUGUUUCUGAGAGCUCUAACGUGUGCCUUUUCUCCAAGCAGGAGUGAGGGAGGCAGCCACUCAGCCCUCCUGUACACAGCUGGCCCCAUGAAGGGAACAGAUUAGCCAGUUAAACUGGUAUGUUGUGCCUGGUGACAUACCCCCAAAUCUCUCCCAACUCUUGAGCCCUACUCAGACUGACAUUUUCACCAUCAGUCACCCAGAGGUUAGGACACAGCUUGUACCCAAGAAUGAAGGCCAAGCCCUGGGUGUGCUGUAGCACAAACACCUCGAUUUCACAGAUGAACUAAAUGCCACCUGGGACAACAGAGGAUUUAAAAAGAGGGCUCCGAAGAGAGAUGAGUAUCUUAGAGCUGUUGGUACCUUAAGCUGGAUGCCAGGUUCCGCCACAGCGCGGAAUGGCGUGGCUUGCCAAUAUGUCUGCUCUGUCUGCUUCCACAUGACUACGUAGAAGCUGGAGCUGUCUUGGUAACCAAAGAUGAAGCCAGCGUAGUCGUCAUCUGUCUGGGUGUUUACGUGGAAGGUCCCUUCAAAGUCAACUCCGUUAAAUGCCGUGUACCCUGCAGGGAUCAGAAGAAGAUCAGAGAGGCAGACCAGCCACAUGAGGAGCUGCAACGAGUGGAUUCUAUACACGUGCUCCUGAUGCCCUGGACAUACCCACUGCCAGGCCAGGAUCGCUGUUCAUAGUCUGCACAAUCUCCAUGCCCUGCAGAGAGAGUUGAAGGCCAUCUUAGAGGGGGGAGAAAGCUCAAGGAAGCCCAGAGCCUCCGGCAGCAUUGAGUACUUGGAUGUGCUGGCUCCUAGGAAGCCCUCCAGUGUUUUCCAUUCCUCUUCACAAUCCCUGGCCAGCAGACCCAAGAAGGAUCAGAUGUGCAUGCCUCAGGAAGAAUGGCAGAGAGGAGGGGGCGGCCCCUGCCUGAGAGAUGAAGAAACUGAGACUGCAUUGAGAAGUAGGAUUAAGUGCACUUGGCUGACACAUACUUUGCAGCAAGGACACUGAGCACAAGGACAGAAAUGGGACUUUAUGGCAGCUGUCGUUGCACAAGGUUGGGCUCAAGAACCACUGGGGAUAGGGCCACCUCCAAGGGGUUGAGAAGGGAGGCCCCGCUUUGUCUUCCAGGGUCCUUUCCCUCUCUCAUCCCUGUCCUGCCGCCCCGACAAGCAUCCGUGAUGGAAAUGAAAGGGGACAGAGCCUAGGACCACAGGCGCCUCCAGGGCAGAGAUAAACUUGUCUGUGUUCUUGCUGAUGUUGCUACAGCAUCUGAUCCAGCCCUGUGUCUUAAUAUAGGACUACAUCGUGUGGGGCUAGACGGGUUGACAAAACUCAUUUGCACAGGACAAUACCACCAAUAAAGGGACACAAAACGAAAAAAUUCCAAGGACAAUGAAAUAACAGUGAUCUCUCAGCAAACUGACAGUUUCCUAUUUUGGGAUGAUGGUGAAGCUUCCCUGAGCUGAAAGACUAUAAUAAUAAAAGAGCUCAUACCUACUGAGUGCUAGCUAUGUAAGGGAAGCUGUGAUGUGCACUCUCCAUAAAUUAACUCCAUCUUCCCAACAGACCUGGCUACGUGCCAUUGUCGUCCCCAUUUUUCAGAUGAGAAAACUGAGGCACAGAGAUUUGAUGACCUGCCUAAGGUUAGGUAGUUUGUAAGUGAAGGGGCUGGGAUUUAUCUAGCUGUGUAUCAUCCAGAGCCCGUGUCUGAAGCAUGAUGCUCUAUUACCUCCCCUGUGCUAGAAUCUCACUUGCUGGAGUGCCUCGUGGCCCCUCCUGACACAGUCACCUGGCUAUAGAGAACUUUCAAGGAAGUGCGGUGACCCUGGCCAGAGGCAGGGCUAUUGUCCCCCCAGUAGCUCAAUCUCUCUCAAUUUAUUCAGAGAGAUCCCAAAGCAAGGUAGUAGCAGAAAGCUCCAAAAGCUAAAAUUCCCUCUAAAUUUUUCAUCGGGCCUUAAUGCAACUGGGAAAUGUGCCAUACCUGUCCUGAUUGGUGUCACAGGAGUCCCCAACCAGGUCGUUAUCCACAUCAGACUGCAAAGAGAACAGAGCAUGUAAUUAUUUAUCCCUGGGCCUUUAUGCACAGAACGUUCCAGAGAAGGCAGAUCUGGCCCCUCACCACUGCAUCUCAGGAAGUCUCUCUGGAAUUGGGUUGGUGCAGAACUGCAAAAGGACAGCACCAUAUUGGUGUAGGCACAAUGCUGAAUUGUCAAAAAAGCCUUCCAAAAUAUCAAGCCACAUGGCUGGGCUGCCUACACACCAGAUGAGCUGAUUGGAAAGGGCGCCGGGGCAGGAUGGUGGCAGGUGGAGACGUGGAACUCUGGCACGGGUCUGAGGAGAGCCAGCCAAAGGCAUGGGGACAAGGCAAACUGAUUUGGCUUUGCUUCUGCAUGUUGGAAUUAAGCCAGAAUGGGAGUGAGUCACAGAGGGCAACAAUGACGCCCCUCUCUCAGGGCUUUAAAAAUACAUGACACAUCAUACCCAAUUAUCCAGACAGGAAGCGAGAAGGGAAACAACACGGCGCUGACUGAACUUCAUCUGAAAUGUCCAGACAUAGGCUGUAUAGGGGCUUGGGGACUAAAAGGGCACAGGCUCCCAAAGGUUAGUUUCCUUGCUACAUUUUCCUUCCGGCAAAAAGACUUGUUUUGGGCAUCAUUAAAUUCCUACUACUAAGGCACUCUACAUAGGCACUCUACAGCCCAUGAGAUUAGCCCAGAGGGCCUUAGGUCUCGUGAAGCGUUCUUCCUACCACCUCCAGACCUAAGGUGUGCAAUUCUACCAUGUCUGCUCUGGUAGGCAAGUGCAACAGCAAGGAGCUGAGCCAGUGUGCUCUGCUGUUUUUCUAGGCACCGGUCUUAAAGAAUCUUCACAUAGGGGAGCUCAGCCUAGAGUAUGAGGCCCUCAAAAGCUACUCACCUGGUUA
Felis catus (domestic cat) is the source of this 4597-nucleotide long non-coding RNA. RefSeq lists it as uncharacterized. The record is from RefSeq and is a predicted model, not a curated record. The transcript has 4 exons. NCBI's taxonomy places the organism in Eukaryota, Metazoa, Chordata, Mammalia, Carnivora, Felidae.